CAGAGGAUCUUCCUGACCUAGGGAUCAAAUCCUGGUUUCCUGCAUUGCCGGGAGAUUCUUUACCGGUUGAACUACAGGGAAGUCCUGUAAUGUAUACAUUAUCAUAAUUUUUAAAAACUCUAUACAAUAGCUGUCUUUUGAGAGGUAGGAUGGGGUUUUGGUGAGGAAGAGCCAUAGCCAUUUGUCGUCAUUUUACCCAUUUUCUACAAUGUUAAUGGAAUUUUGGGAGUUACACAAAAUUGUAAAUUUUAAGUGUUGUAUAGAUAUUUGUUUUUUGAUUUUUUGGAGGGAGAUAAUAUUCAAGUACCAAUGUGGGAAGGAUAGGGUGAAAUCAGGAAAACCUGAUGGCAAUAGAAAGCUAUGGGGAACAGUUAUUAUAGUCAAAUUUAAUCAAACUCAUGGGGUUGGACUCCAGCCUCUAAGAAUAUUUGCAAAUUAGCUUCAAUAAUUUAUAGGAAAUCUUUCUCACUUUUCCAGUGUCUCUAAGAUUGAGAAAUACAGCAAUAACUCAAUUCAAACAACUGACAUCUUGGUAUCCUCACAUUAUUGUGAUUCUCAAGAGCUUUCAGUUUACCUGGACUCACUGUACCUCUCAGUUUAUUUUCUAUCCAGUAUUGGAACUGGACAUGGAUUAUUUUCUUUCUCCCAUUUUAGGUCAACCUCGGCCUUAUACUAUUACAUAGCAUUAUCCAACUUACAGAUUUAGACACGUGAAGUCCAAAGUACAUUCUACCUGGAGAAGAGGAAAAGUGGUAGAAAACUGGAAGAGAGAUGGAGGGAAUGAGCAUCCAUUGAGUACAUCUCUAAAGCUGUACUGUUGAUUUUAAAAAGGUUAUAUCAUUUAAUAUUUGUGAAAACCCUAUGAGGUAUAUAUUGCCAUUUUCUGUUGUAUAAGUUAAUAAAAAGAGACUUGGAGAGCUUCGAUAACAUUCCCAAAGUUAACUCAAACAAUAAGAAAAUUGAAUUUAAAUUUAGAGUUCAGGUGGUCUAAGUCUGUUCAGAGGUUGUUUUCUGACCUUCCAGGGGUGGUUAGCCCUGAGCUUAGCUUAAUUUUAACCAGAAUAUUGUCAGAAAUUGACUUUUGAUUAAGAUAAGAAUGUAUCACUAGAUUUACUAAUUUCUUCAUGCACAUUUUUCCAGUUGCUGUGACAAAGAUGCUUUACCAAGUGGAGAACUGAUCCACACUUUGCCAACAGGAAACAGGAUUCACACUCUACAGUUGCUUCUAGUGCCUAACUAUACUAUGAGAGGAUAAACAGAUUCAAAUUCUGUAUUUUGAAAUUUAGAGCUGUAGGAUAAAACAUCACAAAUUCAGUGCUGAUUAUGUUUAGAUGUUAAGUCUAUUCUUGCUGCCAAAUGACAAAACAAAAUAGUGAUGAUCAUUGAAUUUGCACCAAGGCACUCUUUGUGCUUACUUAUUCAUGAAUGCUACACUGAUUUUUUUUCCCAACUCAUAAAAGGUUUAUAAGAAUACAAGGGGGAACAUACUGAAAAGUUUUUAAAUAUUUAGUAAUCAAAUGGCAAGUUUUCAAAUUAUGCAAGAAAAUUAAAGCCAUCUUUCUUGUUCAAUGCAACAAACCUGCAUUAGAAUUUUGAAGUAGUUCGUUGCUUAAAGAGAUCAAAAUCCUGUGUUUAGAAUUUGCUUCUUUUAUGUAGGGAUAUGGAAAAGAGUCAAUAAGUUUCUAAAUCUACAUAAGGCAAGCGUUUGUUAGAAUAUCACUUCCUCCAAUUUCUCUAUCCCAAGCUGACCUAUUUAACUGACCAGUCUCUAAACUUGUGUUUUCACUUAUUAUGAGAAGCACUUGACCAUUGAGAUGACUGUUAGCUACUAAUACUUGAAGAAAGUUUUAGAGACCUGAAGAAAGAAAGAUACUUCAAACUUCAUUCUUUGCAGUAUCCAGAGCAGUGCUUCUCAACAUUGGUUACAGACAUGAAGAUAAAGGAGUUUGAUCAUUUGUGGCCUGUUUGACCAGUCAGCUUCACUCUGCUCUGAGCCCAGGCCCGUAUUUCUCAUCUCACCACACCCAUAAGUGCUUUCUGACUUGGAAAUGGAGAUUAAAUUUAGACCCUGCCUCAUGCAUGCUGACCACUCAGGGCUCAAUUACUCCUUCUGGAACCCUGACCUUAGGAGUCACUCCAAGUCUCUGCUGUGAGGUCUUCUCACAAGGGGCUCCAAAUGACUCUGGGCUGUUUAUUUUUCAAUAUACUUUCAGAAGCAUUUCCUACCCAAAGAUGUCAGAAACAUGUACUAGUGGCUCUGAGGCACUUUCUGAAAGAGAGGUGAUGGACAAAUUGAAGAAUUCCUGACACCUUGGAUGGUGAAUUGGUGUAAGAAGAGGGGAGAAUAAAAGAACAAAAGGAGUGAGAUUUGGCUGAGUGCUUCCCCACAGUGGAAGGAAAAUUUAAGAAAGUUGCUCCAGUUUGGACCCUGUGGAUGGCUUAUAACUUGGAGAAAGGUAAUGUGUGUAUGUAUGUUUGAGUGUGAGUAUGUGUGAGUGUGUGUGUUUGUGUGUAUGUAUGUGUGCAGGUACCUUUCAUGAAUUGGAACAUUUGGGGGGCUUUGGGACAUCUUAGAUGGAGAGAAAAAACAAAGUAGAGAGAACAUUUUGCUAUCACCUCCAAAUUUCUCCUUCCUGAACAAAACAAGAAAUCUCUGUGCUGUGAUUGGCAGGAAUAGGUAAUUACAUUGGAACCACUUUUUUUUUUUUGUAAUUAUUGCUUUGUAUGAACAAAUCUCAGAAUUACCAUAAAUGUAGAUGGGAGUUAUACAUUAAUUCAGCCACUGGGUCUGAGACUAAUAUUUGUAUAUGCAUGUGAGCUCUACUGGGGCUCUCAGAAAUAUUUUGGGAAAUAGACUUUGUAAAAGACUGGAUAAUCAAGCAGGAGAAAAGCUCAUGGUCAUUGGAUUUUGGGCAUUAAGUGUUAAAAUGACUUAAUUUGUACUCAUAGGAUGUGUGUCUUUGUGUGUGUGUAUUAUGAGAUUAUAUGUUUUUUGACAAUAUGUAUAGCACGGAUGUAACUUAUUUUUCACAAGUAGCUUUGUUAACCUGCUUUAUCCAUUCAACCAUAUGUCAUUGAUAGGGUAUAACAGCCAAUAAAAAUAUUAUUAGUAAUCCACAGUUGGAAAGAAUUAAUACAUUUGAAAAUUGGAGGUAUUCACUACUGGCUUGUCUGAUCAGGCCCAAUUUACUUAGCAAAGAAGUAUCCAAACAUUUAAGUAUGCAAGUAUAUAAAGCCAAAUGAGACAUCAUUUAAUUCCUUUAUUGUCUUACAGUGAAAGACAGCAAAUGAGCAAGUUGAUGGCUUUAUGCCAAUUAUUUUUACUACGAUUUCUUUUAUGCUAAGGUAUAGCUGAAGGCAAGCCCUCAAAUUCUAGCACGAACAUGCAGCAGCAAUAACAUGAAUAUUUUAGGGGCUAUAAGAUUCUUUUCAUGGGUUAUUGUUGGAAAUAAAAAAUUUAAGUUGCAACUGCUUUGCCAAGUGUCAUAAAUGACUGGGACUAAAUGUAAGAGUUUGUGUGGCCUCAAUCCCAGACUCAUUUUUAAAAGACCCAAGUACUAGGUGGCUCCAUUGCACAAUGGAUAGCGCAUUGGACUUCUAAAAGACCCAAGUUCUAGGUGUUCAAGGCCCUCCACAGUGCCAUCCUCUUUCUUCCUAUCUUUCUAAUCUUUUAUCAUUCACCAUACUUAAUGCAGUUCUGCAUCUCCUUCCAGUCACAUAGACUUACCUAACAGAACAUGCAUUUUCACAUUCAAGGAAUAUGGCCUAAGGACCAUCUUCAAAUAUCAAAGCCAACAACCUUGCAGUACCACGAUGGCAAGAAACUCAGACAACUGAAGCUGACUAGCUGAGUCCCAGAGAACAAGGCUAUUGUCACGACACCCAGCAUGACAGCAUGACCCCCUACAUUUCCUCUGGUCCUCUACCAGACUGCACACUUUCCUUCACAUAGUCCUGCUGCAGAUCGUGUCUAUUGGUCGGAACAGUGACCACAGCAGGGACCAACAAAGAUACCUUUCCGGUCCGAACGUGGGAACAUCCUGUGCUUGUUGGGGGUGUCCAUUCCCAUUGAAAGGGAGACAUGAUUAAUCUUGAGGAGAAUUAGAGUAUUUUACCUACUUGUUUAAGGGUGAUUUUUCCCAUUCUAGGGGAAAAAAAAUUACAGUAUUUCAGUGUUUAAAGCACAUCAAGAAUUAAUGAACAUCAUUCUUUUUUUCUUACCAAAGGCACGUUACUGCUUAAAACCACAAAGUGCUGACCUAGCCAGUGAUUCCAGAACCCAGGGCCUCAGCAUAGCAUUUUAAAGACUCAUCCUCAUAAUAAAUUACUAUUUUAAUGAUAGCCCUGGUAACACAUGGUAAAUGGAAAGCACUUUCUGUAGAUUAAGCAACAUAGCUCCCAUUAUUGGUUUAACUAUACUUGAGACCUUAAAAAGAUUUAAAUAACUGUUCGUUUGAUGCAGUUUCUGCUGAAUUAUUUAAAAACACCUCCUUACUGCUUUAACUUUGAAUCUGCAUUAGAAAGUAUAAUGCCAAUUAGGAUUCCUCCACUGCCUCAAAUGCUCUAAAUAUAAAUACAAACUGAAUCUACCCACAAAUACAAUUUCUCUCUUUACACUAUGAUCUUUCAUCCUAAACUUAGGCAAAAAAAAGCCCAAAAAUUUACAGGAGAGAGUCAGAAAAUUAGGAAAUAAUUAAAGUAACAAAAAUUAAGGCCUAAUGGAUAGCUUUUUGGAAGUGCUAAAGACACAUGGUUCAGAGUUGUGCAUUUAGAUAGAAAACUCAGUGUUUACAUUUGACUAGUACAAGUUCAAGAAUUACAUAAUGUAAAAUAUAAAUGUAAGUACUUAUAUAAGUACUUAUAUAAAACCAUAAAUGAAAGAUAUUGGCUCAGUUGGUUGAUUUGAAUUUUAUUUACUGUAAUAAUCAAAAGUGAAAAUCAGAUGCAAGGCAUACCUUUGGUUGACCAUGUUUUAUUUUUGUUUAGUUUUUGCAAAGCUGAAUGUUUCUCCUGCUCCCCUUGCCUGCCCCCGCCACUUACUUCCCAUUAAAUGAAACUUAGAUAUUAACUUUAAGCCUCCAUCUGUUUCAUAUUCCUUAUACAUACUUUGGCUCCCAAGAAACCUUUCUACAGCCCACUUCUCCUACCUGGAAUGCUUGUUUCUUGCUGCCUCAUGUCCCUUCCUCUCUAUUCAAAGCACUCUACUUAAGGAAGCUCUUCCACAAAAGAAUUCUCAGUGAAUCUCUUCUGGUUCCAGGCCUUCUUAUCUCCCUAUUAGGACUGCGCCUUAUGUGGUUGUUCAGUUGCUAAGUCACGUCCAACUCUUUGUGACCCCAUGGACUGCAGCACUCCAGGCUUCCCUGUCCUUCACUCUCCCGGAGUUAGCUCAAACUCAUGUCCAUUAAGUCGGUGA
Long non-coding RNA from Bubalus bubalis (water buffalo), 5413 nucleotides. RefSeq lists it as uncharacterized. The record is from RefSeq and is a predicted model, not a curated record. NCBI's taxonomy places the organism in Eukaryota, Metazoa, Chordata, Mammalia, Artiodactyla, Bovidae. The transcript is spliced from 6 exons.